AUUCAAGAAUAGAGCCCCUGAUCUCAUUAAAGUGGAUAUGGCAUAGGACGAAAUAAGUGUGACCAAUUGAAGGUUGUAGUCUCUGUACACAAUAUGGCGGUAUAUACGAAUACGAACACAGUUUACUGUGACGAUGAUACGAAAUUCCACGUGUAAUUAAUUAUCUAUAGACGUAGAUGUGUAGCAGUUUUAUCCAAAAUAGUACUUUUUUAUAAUAAAAAUAGUAAAAUAGUAAAAUAGUAAGAUUCCAAAAUUAAAAAAUGUGUUUAUUGUGGAAAAGGAAGUGAAAAUAAACAACAAACGUUCAUAGCUGCAAGUAUGGAUUACUACAACACAAUUAAGGACACGAGGACAAAAUAAGCUAUAACAAUACCCUUUAAACUUAUUUAUAAGUUUAGUAGUAGUAGUAUUAUUUAUUAGUAAAAU
Monomorium pharaonis (pharaoh ant) is the source of this 426-nucleotide long non-coding RNA. RefSeq lists it as uncharacterized. The transcript is spliced from 2 exons. NCBI's taxonomy places the organism in Eukaryota, Metazoa, Arthropoda, Insecta, Hymenoptera, Formicidae. The record is from RefSeq and is a predicted model, not a curated record.